GCCAACGACCAUACCACGCUGAGAACAUCGGUUCUCGUCCGAUCGCCGAAAUUAAGCAGCGUAUUUAGAUGGGUGACCGCUUGAGAACACCGCGUGUUGUUGUUGGCA
RNAcentral lists this ribosomal RNA (108 nucleotides) under Musca domestica (house fly). The record is from RNAcentral. Lineage: Eukaryota; Metazoa; Arthropoda; Insecta; Diptera; Muscidae.